Molecule: non-coding RNA, 23 nt
Filed under: Arabidopsis thaliana (thale cress)
Lineage: Eukaryota; Viridiplantae; Streptophyta; Magnoliopsida; Brassicales; Brassicaceae
Source: RNAcentral
AACAUUUGUGUGAAAUAACCGGU